RNAcentral lists this unclassified non-coding RNA (306 nucleotides) under fungal sp. RNAcentral describes it as "partial internal transcribed spacer region". The stretch from base 1 to 46 matches the Rfam family "Eukaryotic small subunit ribosomal RNA", at positions 1786 to 1831 of the family's 1831-position model. The record is from RNAcentral. Lineage: Eukaryota; Fungi.
AAGUCGUAACAAGGUUUCCGUAGGUGAACCUGCGGAAGGAUCAUUACCAAAUACUGCUUGCCUGGAUGGAUUCGUCCGUUCUGCAAACAACACCCCCCUGCGUACCUGUACCUGUUGCUUCCGUCAGCCAGCGGAUGCCUUUUGGGGCGUCCCCUCCGGUGCCUGGCCAGUAGUUCAUGGCCGGCUGGGGAGUUGCUGGCGGCGAGCCCAAAAACAAAACACAUGUCAUUUCUCUGCCUAGUCUGAGCUUUGAUGCUACGAAACAAAAACAAGUUAAAACUUUCAACAACGGAUCUCUUGGCUCUC